RNAcentral lists this ribosomal RNA (433 nucleotides) under uncultured bacterium. RNAcentral describes it as "partial 16S ribosomal RNA". It matches the Rfam family "Bacterial small subunit ribosomal RNA", at positions 34 to 507 of the family's 1533-position model. The record is from RNAcentral.
CCCGCCCGCUGGCGGCAUGCCUAACACAUGCAAGUCGAACGAGACCUUCGGGUCUAGUGGCGCACGGGUGCGUAACGCGUGGGAACCUUCCCUUAGGUUCGGAAUAACUCCCCGAAAGGGGUGCUAAUAACGGAUAAUGUCUUCGGACCAAAGAUUUAUCGCCUUUGGAUGGGCCCGCGUUGGAUUAGAUAGUUGGUAGGGUAAAAGCCUACCAAGGCGACGAUCCAUAGCUGGUCUGAGAGGAUGAUCAGCCACACUGGGACUGAGACACGGCCCAGACUCCUACGGGAGGCAGCAGUGGGGAAUAUUGGACAAUGGGCGAAAGCCUGAUCCAGCAAUGCCGCGUGAGUGAUGAAGGCCUUAGGGUUGUAAAGCUCUUUUACCCGGGAUGAUAAUGACAGUGCCGGGAGAAUAAGCUCCGGCUGACUCCGUG